This 193-nucleotide ribosomal RNA is filed under the name uncultured bacterium. RNAcentral describes it as "partial 16S ribosomal RNA". It matches the Rfam family "Bacterial small subunit ribosomal RNA", at positions 118 to 309 of the family's 1533-position model. The record is from RNAcentral.
UGAGGAAUCUGUCCAUCGGCGGGGGAUAGCCGGCCCAACGGCCGGGUAAUACCGCGUACGUCGGCGGAAGCGCAUGCUUCUGCCGGGAAAGCAGCAAUGCACCGAUGGAGGACCUCGCGGCCUAUCAGCUUGUUGGCGGGGUAAUGGCCCACCAAGGCGACGACGGGUAGCUGGUCUGAGAGGAUGAUCAGCC